UCCAGGUGCUAAUCACAGCCUGAACCAACAUGAAAGGAGACAGAAGAUAGGGAGCUGGAUGAGAGCAUGUUCUCUGCUGUCUGUGGCCCGCCUGACAUGCUGUGGUCUGGGAAACGACCUACUUAUCACAGAGCAUCAGGCUGAAGAAGCACUCAAGCUACUGCUACAGGAAUAUGUACAUUAAAUUUAUACAUGAAACUGCGUGACGGCUGAGUGAGGACAAUUCACAGGACGUCCACCAGGGGGCGAGAGGGCUAAUUGAAGGCACGCUCACAGGAGAUUAGACAGGCCCAGUAUCCCCAUUCCCCGGAAGUCCGUCUUGGGGUCGUUGCCUUGGAAACCGAUGUCACACCACUGCUUGGAGAUACGGCCCGUGAGGGGGG
Molecule: long non-coding RNA, 383 nt
Organism: Brienomyrus brachyistius
Lineage: Eukaryota; Metazoa; Chordata; Actinopteri; Osteoglossiformes; Mormyridae
Exons: 3
Source: RefSeq, a predicted model, not a curated record